RNAcentral lists this long non-coding RNA (797 nucleotides) under Marmota monax (woodchuck). The record is from RNAcentral. Lineage: Eukaryota; Metazoa; Chordata; Mammalia; Rodentia; Sciuridae.
AACUCAGGGGUGCUCGACUCAACCACUGAGCCACAUCCCCAGCCCUAUUCUGUAUUUUACUUAGAGACAGAGUCUCAUUGAGUUGCUUAGCGCCUCGAUUUUGCUGAGGCUGACUUUGAACUCUGAUCCUCCUGCCUCAGCCUCCUGAGCUGCUGGGAUCACAGGCGUGCACGGCCACACCCAGCACUUGGAUUCUGUUUAACAACACUAAUCUCUUCAGCAACCACACCAUCAACUCGGUCUCACACUCUCAGGGCAUGGACUAAAUAAAUACAAACACAUUCUUUGCUAGAAUGCAAUAAGAAUGGCCUCUAUUCUAAUUCCCAGCAGAGGCCUCACUUCCAUCUGAAAACCCAUGAAUCUGGACUUGACUGUCUACACUCAGCAUCCUGCUUUUCUGAGCUCCCAUAAGAACUGCCCAUUAAGUUCUGCUUAAGUUCUCAGCUGUCUCUAGCCUGUUUCUCCAAACUUCUGCAAACCAAUUUCAAAGGCUUCUGAAUCACACCCUAAGCUGUAGUCACAGCACUGACCCCACUUCUUGGAACCAAUAUUCUGUAUUAGCUUUCUGUCAUUAUGACAAAAUGCCUGAGAUAAUCAACUUACAAGGAGAAAAGAUAUAUUUUGGUUUAUAGUUUCAGAGGUUUCAGUCCAUGGUUGCUUGCUCCCUUCCCUUUGGGCCUAUGGGGAGGCGGAACAUCAUGGUGAUGAGCUUUAGAAGAGCAGAGCUGCUCGCCUCACAGUGGCCAGGAAGGAAAAGAGGGAGGGAGGGAGGAGAAAAAGAGAGGGGGAAGGGGUAG